This 68-nucleotide transfer RNA is filed under the name Marmota monax (woodchuck). RNAcentral describes it as "tRNA.Val". The record is from RNAcentral. Lineage: Eukaryota; Metazoa; Chordata; Mammalia; Rodentia; Sciuridae.
GGAUAUAGCUCAGUUGGUAGAGUGCUUUCCUCACAUGCAUGAGGCCCUUGGUUCAAUACCCAGCACCA